UUUUUUUCCAUAACAGAAGAUACGCAGGGGACUUGAGAACCAAGGCAAAGGACCUCGGGGGAGGUCACAAGCCCCCUAGCCGUGGCCUGGGGGGCGCGCCUAGCAGGCUUGUGGCCCCCCGUGCUCCUUUGCCCUACCUCUUCCACCUAUAAAUUCUCUAAAAAUCCAAAACCACGAGAGAGAGGCUCGAAAAUACUUUUCCGCAGCCGCAAACUUCUGUCUCCGCAAGAUCCCAUCCGGGGACCGUUCUGGUGCCCUGUCGGAGGGGAGAUUCGGACACGGAGGGCUUCUUCAUACACACCAUUGCCUGUCCGAUGAUGCGUGAGUAGUUCACCACAGACCUUCGGGUCCAUAGCUAGUAGCUAGAUGGCUUCUUCUCUCUCUUGGAUC
Molecule: long non-coding RNA, 390 nt
Filed under: Hordeum vulgare
Lineage: Eukaryota; Viridiplantae; Streptophyta; Magnoliopsida; Poales; Poaceae
Description: long non-coding RNA (HVUL_LNC001757)
Source: RNAcentral